GCCGAGGUGGCGGAGCCUGGACUAACGCGCACGCCUGGAGAGCGUGUUCCCCUCUGGGGAGCUUGGGUUCAAAUCCCAACCUCGGCG
Molecule: transfer RNA, 87 nt
Filed under: Candidatus Altarchaeales archaeon
Lineage: Archaea; Nanobdellati; Candidatus Altarchaeota; Candidatus Altarchaeia; Candidatus Altarchaeales
Also listed under: 1 other name
Description: Candidatus Altiarchaeales archaeon tRNA-Ser
Rfam family: tRNA
About the family: Transfer RNA (tRNA) molecules are approximately 80 nucleotides in length. Their secondary structure includes four short double-helical elements and three loops (D, anti-codon, and T loops).
Source: RNAcentral